RNAcentral lists this ribosomal RNA (889 nucleotides) under Penicillium allaniae. RNAcentral describes it as "partial large subunit ribosomal RNA". It matches the Rfam family "Eukaryotic large subunit ribosomal RNA", at positions 49 to 956 of the family's 3401-position model. The record is from RNAcentral. Lineage: Eukaryota; Fungi; Ascomycota; Eurotiomycetes; Eurotiales; Aspergillaceae.
AGCGGAGGAAAAGAAACCAACAGGGAUUGCCCCAGUAACGGCGAGUGAAGCGGCAAGAGCUCAAAUUUGAAAGCUGGCCCCCUCGGGGUCCGCAUUGUAAUUUGCAGAGGAUGCUUCGGGAGUGGCCCCCAUCUAAGUGCUCUGGAACGGGCCGUCAUAGAGGGUGAGAAUCCCGUAUGGGAUGGGGUGUCCGCGACCAUGUGAAGCUCCUUCAACGAGUCGAGUUGUUUGGGAAUGCAGCUCUAAAUGGGUGGUAAAUUUCAUCUAAAGCUAAAUAUUGGCCGGAGACCGAUAGCGCACAAGUAGAGUGAUCGAAAGAUGAAAAGCACUUUGAAAAGAGAGUUAAAAAGCACGUGAAAUUGUUGAAAGGGAAGCGCUUGCGACCAGACUCGCCUGCGGGGUUCAGCCGGUAUUCGUACCGGUGUACUUCCCCGUGGGCGGGCCAGCGUCGGUUUGGGCGGCCGGUCAAAGGCCCUCGGAAUGUAACGCCUCUCGGGGCGUCUUAUAGCCGAGGGUGCCAUGCGGCCAGCCCGGACCGAGGAACGCGCUUCGGCACGGACGCUGGCAUAAUGGUCGUAAGCGACCCGUCUUGAAACACGGACCAAGGAGUCUAACAUCUACGCGAGUGUUCGGGUGUCAAACCCGUGCGCGCAGUGAAAGCGAACGGAGGUGGGAACCCUCACGGGUGCACCAUCGACCGAUCCUGAUGUCUUCGGAUGGAUUUGAGUAAGAGCGUAGCUGUUGGGACCCGAAAGAUGGUGAACUAUGCCUGAAUAGGGCGAAGCCAGAGGAAACUCUGGUGGAGGCUCGCAGCGGUUCUGACGUGCAAAUCGAUCGUCAAAUUUGGGUAUAGGGGCGAAAGACUAAUCGAACCAUCUAGUAGCUGGUC